AGUAAUACAUCGGAACGUGUCCUGUCGUGGGGGAUAACCAGUCGAAAGACUGGCUAAUACCGCAUGAGAUCGAGAGAUGAAAGCAGGGGACCGCAAGGCCUUGCGCGAUUGGAGCGGCCGAUGUCGGAUUAGCUUGUUGGCGGGGUAAAGCCCACCAAGGCGACGAUCCGUAGCUGGUUUGAGAGAACGACCAGCCACACUGGGACUGAGACACGGCCCAG
RNAcentral lists this ribosomal RNA (221 nucleotides) under uncultured bacterium. RNAcentral describes it as "partial 16S ribosomal RNA". It matches the Rfam family "Bacterial small subunit ribosomal RNA", at positions 109 to 334 of the family's 1533-position model. The record is from RNAcentral.